This 207-nucleotide long non-coding RNA is filed under the name Lathyrus oleraceus (garden pea). Its description in RNAcentral is "Pisum sativum (pea) long non-coding RNA (PSAT_LNC032110)". Lineage: Eukaryota; Viridiplantae; Streptophyta; Magnoliopsida; Fabales; Fabaceae. The record is from RNAcentral.
AAAAAUUAGGGAUAUAAAAAAAGAGUACACCCGGUGAGUCAAAAACCCAAAAGGGCGGCUCAGGCAAAAAUGGGUAUCCCGGUGGAUUGAAAACCCGAAAAGGGGGCGAUCCAGGCAAAAGUUAGGGAAUAAGCGAAUGACUGUGAUCUGAGUUCAUCAGUGUUAUAUCACCGUUUCAUUCAAUCCGGCAAUCUUCGAAGGUUAAAG